RNAcentral lists this ribosomal RNA (509 nucleotides) under uncultured Diversispora. RNAcentral's name for it is "SSU rRNA". It matches the Rfam family "Eukaryotic small subunit ribosomal RNA", at positions 569 to 1078 of the family's 1831-position model. Lineage: Eukaryota; Fungi; Glomeromycota; Glomeromycetes; Diversisporales; Diversisporaceae. The record is from RNAcentral.
AGCAGCCGCGGUAAUUCCAGCUCCAAUAGCGUAUAUUAAAGUUGUUGCAGUUAAAAAGCUCGUAGUUGAACUUCAGGGUCUACCCAUUGGUCAGGCUUAAUUGUCUGCACUGGUGCGAUGGAUCUCUACCUUCUGAGGAACUUUCAUGCCAUUUAUUUGGUGUGAUGGGAAAUCAGGACUGUUACUUUGAAAAAAUUAGAGUGUUUAAAGCAGACUAUCGUCUGAAUACAUUAGCAUGGAAUAAUGAAAUAGGACGGACUGAUUCUAUUUCGUUGGUUUCUAGGAUCACCGUAAUGAUUAAUAGGGAUAGUUGGGGGCAUUAGUAUUCAAUUGUCAGAGGUGAAAUUCUUGGAUUUAUUGAAGACUAACUACUGCGAAAGCAUUUGCCAAGGAUGCUUUCAUUAAUCAAGAACGAAAGUUAGGGGAUCGAAGACGAUCAGAUACCGUCGUAGUCUUAAACCAUAAACUAUGCCGACUAGGGAUCGGACGAAGUUAAUUUUAUAAUGACG